CCUACGGGUGGCAGCAGUGGGGAAUAUUGGACAAUGGGCGAAAGCCUGAUCCAGCCAUGCCGCGUGUGUGAAGAAGGCCUUCGGGUUGUAAAGCACUUUCAGUGGGGAAGAAAGCCUUGGGGCUAAUACCCUCGAGGAAGGACAUCACCCACAGAAGAAGCACCGGCUAACUCCGUGCCAGCAGCCGCGGUAAUACGGAGGGUGCGAGCGUUAAUCGGAAUUACUGGGCGUAAAGCGCGCGUAGGCGGUCUGAUAAGCCGGUUGUGAAAGCCCCGGGCUCAACCUGGGAACGGCAUCCGGAACUGUCAGGCUAGAGUGCAGGAGAGGAAGGUAGAAUUCCCGGUGUAGCGGUGAAAUGCGUAGAGAUCGGGGGGAAUACCAGUGGCGAAGGCGGCCUUCUGGACUGACACUGACGCUGAGGUGCGAAAGCGUGGGUAGCAAACAGGAUUAGAUACCCCUGUAGUC
Molecule: ribosomal RNA, 465 nt
Filed under: Vreelandella stevensii
Lineage: Bacteria; Pseudomonadati; Pseudomonadota; Gammaproteobacteria; Oceanospirillales; Halomonadaceae
Description: partial 16S ribosomal RNA
Rfam family: Bacterial small subunit ribosomal RNA
Source: RNAcentral